RNAcentral lists this ribosomal RNA (460 nucleotides) under uncultured bacterium. RNAcentral's name for it is "partial 16S ribosomal RNA". It matches the Rfam family "Bacterial small subunit ribosomal RNA", at positions 338 to 795 of the family's 1533-position model. The record is from RNAcentral.
CCUACGGGUGGCAGCAGUGAGGAAUAUUGGUCAAUGGGCGCGAGCCUGAACCAGCCAAGUCGCGUGAGGGAAGACGGCCCUACGGGUUGUAAACCUCUUUUGCCGGGGAGCAACGGGCGCCACGUGUGGCGCCACUGAGAGUACCCGGAGAAAAAGCAUCGGCUAACUCCGUGCCAGCAGCCGCGGUAAUACGGAGGAUGCGAGCGUUAUCCGGAUUUAUGGGGUUUAAAGGGGGCGGAGGCGGAGCGUUAAUCAAGUGGUCAAAUUGGGGGGCUCAACCCCUUCCCGCCAUUGAAACUGGCGCUCUUGAGUGGAAGAGAGGUAUGCGGAAUGCGUGGUGUAGCGGUGAAAUGCAUAGAUAUCACGCAGAACCCCGAUUGCGAAGGCAGCAUGCCGGCUUCCGACUGACGCUGAAGCACGAAAGCGUGGGGAUCGAACAGGAUUAGAUACCCUUGUAGUC